UGACAAGAUUUCAGUUCCUUUCCAAAAAA
Molecule: non-coding RNA, 29 nt
Filed under: Mus musculus (house mouse)
Lineage: Eukaryota; Metazoa; Chordata; Mammalia; Rodentia; Muridae
Source: RNAcentral